RNAcentral lists this long non-coding RNA (338 nucleotides) under Mytilus galloprovincialis (Mediterranean mussel). The record is from RNAcentral. Lineage: Eukaryota; Metazoa; Mollusca; Bivalvia; Mytilida; Mytilidae.
GGAAAACCUUGGAAGAAAUAAUCUCAAUCUAUCGGAAAUUUGGAUUGCACAUAAUCAUUAACCUGCUUGUGAUUAGUGUUUUAAGCGUCGGUGAUAUUUAAAGACACUAAACAGUUAUUGUCUUUAUCCUGCAAUUAAUUCUGUAUAUUGUUUGUGUUUUGAAAGACACAAAAACUAACAUAUUUAGCAUUUAUUUUCGAUUUGUAAUCCCUUGAGGCCCGCGUAGUAAUAUCAAAAUCACACAUUACGCUGAAGACAGGUUCGCAAAAAAAAGAAUCUCGAAUGGUCAACAAUAAUACAUUGCUGAAGGUGAAUAAUUAUCUAUUUUAACAUAACAA